GAUGAACGCUGGCGGCGUGCUUAACACAUGCAAGUCGAACGGAAAGGCUCCUGCUUGCAGGGGUACUCGAGUGGCGAACGGGUGAGUAACACGUGGGUGAUCUGCCCUGCACUUCGGGGUAAGCCUGGGAAACUGGGUCUAAUACCGGAUAGGACCACAUUUUGGAUGGUGUGGUGGAAAGUUUUUCGGUGUGGGAUGAGCUCGCGGCCUAUCAGCUUGUUGGUGGGGUAAUGGCCUACCAAGGCGUCGACGGGUAGCCGGCCUGAGAGGGUGUACGGCCACAUUGGGACUGAGAUACGGCCCAGACUCCUACGGGAGGCAGCAGUGGGGAAUAUUGCACAAUGGGCGCAAGCCUGAUGCAGCGACGCCGCGUGGGGGAUGACGGCCUUCGGGUUGUAAACUCCUUUCGCUAGGGACGAAGCGCAAGUGACGGUACCUGGAGAAGAAGCACCGGCUAACUACGUG
Molecule: ribosomal RNA, 465 nt
Filed under: uncultured bacterium
Lineage: Bacteria
Description: partial 16S ribosomal RNA
Rfam family: Bacterial small subunit ribosomal RNA
Source: RNAcentral